Non-coding RNA from Caenorhabditis brenneri, 71 nucleotides. The record is from the annotation of a GenBank genome assembly. Lineage: Eukaryota; Metazoa; Nematoda; Chromadorea; Rhabditida; Rhabditidae.
GGUCCCAUGGCCUAGUGGCUAAAGCUCUUGUUUUGAAAUUUUGGGCGCGGGUUCGAUUCCGCCUGGCGCCA